UGAGUACGAGACGCUAAGGCGUCGAAGUAGUGUAUGUCAUACUUCCAAGAAAAGCUUGCACUAUCAUAGAUAAAAAACGCCUGUACCAUAACCGACACAGGUGGGUAGGUAGAGUAUACUAAGGGGCGCGAGAUAACUCUCUCUAAGGAACUCGGCAAAAUAACUCCGUAACUUCGGGAGAAGGAGUGCCUUAUUAUUAAGGUUGCAAUAACAAGAUCCAAGCAACUGUUUAUCAAAAACACAGGUCUCCGCUAAGUCGUAAGACGAUGUAUGGGGGCUGACGCCUGCCCAGUGCCAGAAGGUUAAAGAAGUUGGUUAGCAAUUGCGAAGCUGAUAACUGAAGCCCUGGGGAACGGCGGCCGUAACGAUAACGGUCCUAAGGUAGCGAAAUUCCUUGUCGGGUAAGUUCCGACCCGCACGAAAGGCGUAAUGAUUUGGAUACUGUCUCGGAGAGGGGCUCGGUGAAAUAGACUUGUCUGUGAAGAUGCGGACUACCUGCACCAGGACAGAAAGACCCUAUGAAGCUUUACUGUAACUUGAAAUUGAAAUUGGACUUUAUUCGCGCAGUAUAGGUGGGAGGCGUCAUUAUAAUCUUGCGGGAUUAUUGGAGCCAUCAGUGAGAUACCACUCUUGUAAUGUUAGAUUUCUAACUUUGAAUCAUUAUCUGGUCAAAGAACAGUUUCAGGCGGGCAGUUUGACUGGGGCGGUCGCCUCCUAAACGGUAACGGAGGCGUACAAAGGUUUCCUCUGAACGGUUAGAAAUCGUAUCUAGAGUGUAAAGGCAUAAGGAAGCUUGACUGUGAGACCUACAAGUCGAGCAGGGACGAAAGUCGGUCUUAGUGAUCUGACGGUACUGAGUGGAAAGGCCGUCACUCAACGGAUAAAAGUUACUCUAAGGAUAACAGGCUGAUCUCCCCCAAGAGUUCACAUCGACGGGGAGGUUUGGCACCUCGACGUCGGCUCAUCGCAUCCUGGGGCGGUAGUACGUCCCAAGGGUUGGGCUGUUCGCCCAUGAAAGCGGUACGCGAGCUGGGUUCAGAACGUCGUGAGACAGUUCGGUCCAUAUCCGGUGUAGGCGUUAGAAUAUUGAGAGGAGCCUUCUUUAGUACGAGAGGACCGAGAAGGACAUACCUCUGGUCUACCAGUUAUCGUGCCAACGGUAAACGCUGGGUAGCUAUGUAUGGAGUGGAUAACCGCUGAAAGCAUCUAAGUGGGAAGCCCACCUCAAGAUAAGUAUUCUCAU
Molecule: ribosomal RNA, 1243 nt
Filed under: metagenome
Description: bacterial LSU rRNA
Rfam family: Bacterial large subunit ribosomal RNA
Source: RNAcentral